This 637-nucleotide ribosomal RNA is filed under the name uncultured bacterium. RNAcentral describes it as "bacterial SSU rRNA". The stretch from base 1 to 538 matches the Rfam family "Bacterial small subunit ribosomal RNA", at positions 338 to 873 of the family's 1533-position model. The record is from RNAcentral.
CCUACGGGAGGCAGCAGUGGGGAAUAUUGGACAAUGGGCGAAAGCCUGAUCCAGCAAUUCCGCGUGUGUGAAGAAGGCCUUCGGGUUGUAAAGCACUUUAGUGGGGGAAGAAACAGCUUGGCCACACCAAGCCUUGACGGUACCCCAAGAAUAAGCACCGGCUAACUCUGUGCCAGCAGCCGCGGUAAUACAGAGGGUGCAAGCGUUAAUCGGAUUUACUGGGCGUAAAGGGUGCGUAGGUGGCUAUUUAAGUCGGAUGUGAAAGCCCGGGGCUCAACCUCGGAAUUGCAUUCGAUACUGAGUGGCUAGAGUUCGGUAGAGGGCGGCGGAAUUUCCGGUGUAGCGGUGAAAUGCGUAGAUAUCGGAAGGAACAUCAAUGGCGAAGGCAGCCGCCUGGGCCUGGACUGACACUGAGGCACGAAAGCGUGGGUAGCAAACAGGAUUAGAUACCCUGGUAGUCCACGCCGUAAACGAUGAGAACUUGACGUUGGUUCGUUUUACGAAUCGGUGUCGCNGCUACGCGAUAGUUACGUCCGCCGUCGGGAGGUACGGCCGGCGAGGUUAGUAACGUAACGUAAGUAGUUAAGUUAGUACGGUUCGUUGAGACGUUGCCGACGGACGACGACGAGGGAGGAGG